This 1666-nucleotide ribosomal RNA is filed under the name Pomoxis nigromaculatus (black crappie). RNAcentral describes it as "16S ribosomal RNA". It matches the Rfam family "Bacterial large subunit ribosomal RNA". Lineage: Eukaryota; Metazoa; Chordata; Actinopteri; Centrarchiformes; Centrarchidae. The record is from RNAcentral.
CAACAAAUUACCAUAAAUAACCCCAAACACACUAGUGUUAUAUUAAAUAAAUCAUUCUUCCCCCUUAGUACGGGCGACAGAAAAGGGACUACGGCGCAAUAGAAAAAGUACCGCAAGGGAACGCUGAAAGAGAAAUGAAAGAACCCAGUAAAGCCUUAAAAAGCAGAGAUUUUUACUUGUACCUUUUGCAUCAUGAUUUAGCUAGAAAUGCCCAGGCAAAGAGAACUUUAGUCUGGUUUCCCGAAACUAAGUGAGCUACUCCAAGACAGCCUAUUAAUAGGGCACACCCGUCUCUGUGGCAAAAGAGUGGGAGGAGCUUUGAGUAGAGGUGACAGACCUACCGAACUUAGUUAUAGCUGGUUGCCUGAGAAUUGGAUAGGAGUUCAGCCUCCCGGCUUCUUUUCUCACCCUUGUCCUAACACCCUAUAGACACCCAAAGAAUACCGCGAGAGUUAGUCAAAGGGGGUACAGCCCCUUUGAAAUAAGACACAACUUUUCCAGGAGGGUAAAGAUCAUAAUAAACUAAAGUAAAAUGUUCUGGUGGGCCUAAAAGCAGCCACCCCCCUAGAAAGCGUUAAAGCUCAGACAUACCACUUACCUUCUUAUUCUGAUAACUUAUCUUAACCCCCUAACCUUAUCAGGCCGCCCCAUGCUUUCAUGGGGGUGACCAUGCUAAUAUGAGUAAUAAGAGAGCCUCGACUCUCUCCCCGCACACGUGUAAAUCGGAACGGACAAGCCACCGAACCUUAACGGCCCCAAACAAAGAGGGUAAUGAACAAUAGACUAAACAACUAGAAAAACAUUCAAACUUUAACCGUUAACCCCACACUGGAGUGCCCCCCCGGGAAAGACUAAAAGAAAAAGAAGGAACUCGGCAAACACAUAAAGCCUCGCCUGUUUACCAAAAACAUCGCCUCUUGCUGAAAUUAAAGAAUAAGAGGUCCCGCCUGCCCUGUGACUAUAAGUUUAACGGCCGCGGUAUUUUGACCGUGCGAAGGUAGCGCAAUCACUUGUCUUUUAAAUGAAGACCUGUAUGAAUGGCAUAACGAGGGCUUAGCUGUCUCCUUUUUCCGGUCAAUGAAAUUGAUCUCCCCGUGCAGAAGCGGGGAUGAGACCAUAAGACGAGAAGACCCUAUGGAGCUUUAGACACCAAGGUAAGCCAUGUUAAAUACCCCAAAAUAAAGGGCUAAACCAAAUGAAAUUUACCCCCAUGUCUUUGGUUGGGGCGACCGCGGGGAAAUACAAAACCCCCACGUGGAAUGAGAAUACUCUUUCCUACAACUAAGAGCCCCCGCUCUAGUUAACAGAAUUUCUGACCAGCAAGAUCCGGCAACGCCGAUCAACGGACCGAGUUACCCUAGGGAUAACAGCGCAAUCCCCUUUUAGAGCCCAUAUCGACAAGGGGGUUUACGACCUCGAUGUUGGAUCAGGACAUCCUAAUGGUGCAGCCGCUAUUAAGGGUUCGUUUGUUCAACGAUUAAAGUCCUACGUGAUCUGAGUUCAGACCGGAGUAAUCCAGGUCAGUUUCUAUCUAUGCUAUGAUCUUUUCUAGUACGAAAGGACCGAAAAGGAGAGGCCCAUGCUUCAAGUAUGCCUCACCCCCACCUAAUGAAAACAACUAAAAUAGGCAAAAGGGCAUGUCCCCUUUUGCCUAAGACUACGGCAA